CUAAGUUUGCGUAGCAUCGCUUUCAUCGAAACAGGGUUUGUUUAAGUCACGUUUUCAUCAGAAAACGAAUGCGUUUGUGAAUGUGGGGAUGUAAGCAGUUGACAGUAUGCAAUUGACAGUAAGCAGUUGACAGUAAGCAGUAGGCAGUUAACAGUAGGCAGUAGUUAGUCAGAAGUAGACAUUCCAUCUGUUACUUUCCUACCAAGUGCGACAUUUAGCGUCAAGGGGUUGCGACAUUUAGCGGCAAUCGAUUUUUGUGCGACAUAUAGCGGCAACGUUGCGACAUUUAGCGGUAGGCGAUUGCGACAUAUAGCGUUGAUUGCGACAUAUAGCGUCAGCGUUGCGACAUUUAGCGUUAGUUGCGACA
Ruditapes philippinarum (Manila clam) is the source of this 367-nucleotide long non-coding RNA. RefSeq lists it as uncharacterized. The record is from RefSeq and is a predicted model, not a curated record. Lineage: Eukaryota; Metazoa; Mollusca; Bivalvia; Venerida; Veneridae. The transcript has 3 exons.